Long non-coding RNA from Bubalus bubalis (water buffalo), 1375 nucleotides. RefSeq lists it as uncharacterized. NCBI's taxonomy places the organism in Eukaryota, Metazoa, Chordata, Mammalia, Artiodactyla, Bovidae. The record is from RefSeq and is a predicted model, not a curated record. The transcript is spliced from 3 exons.
AGUAGUCUUGCCUGGGGAACCCCAUGGACAGGGGAGCCUGAUGGACUACAGUCCGUGGGGUUGCAAAGAGUCAGAAGGUGAUGCACACUCUCGGGGGAACAUGAAGCAGGGACAGGGACAUGGAAUACUAGGUGAGGAGGGGAGGUGGAGGGGGGCCUGUGGACACUUGGGGGAAAAGUGUUUCAGACCGGGGGAGCAGCCAGUGCGAAGGCCCUGGGGCAGCAUGAGCUUGGGUCAUUUCAGAGACACAGGGCAGCCAACGUGUCUGGAAGGGUGAGUGGGGAGGGGGCAGGAGGGAGGGGAGGUCCCUCUGAUACGGGGCCUGUGAGCCAAAGGAUGAGCUCAAGCUCGAUCCUCGAACCGCUGGGGAUGUGACUCAGCGAGGGAGCAAGGUGGACUGAUGCACAGUUUUAUGGGACCCGUCUGGCUGAGGGUAGAGAGGGAUGUUCUGGAGGGACGUAAUGCAGACUUCUGUACCUGCGCAGGUGAGAGGUAACAGCUGCAGAGGAGGGAGAAGGAAGGACGUGGAGACCCCUCUAGGUCUCAGGAAGCCCAGCAGGAAGUUGGCAGGCCGGAGGCCCAGCCUGGGAGGCUGACUGGUUUGUCCAGCCUGGAGCCUGUGAUCCCCACCCCUAGCCCGUGCUGACAUGCGGCAGCCCUAGAGCUGGGAAAUGUGCCUGGUGUGUCCGCCACGAGGCCUGGGCCAGACAGCGCCCAUGGGACCUGCCAGGAGGCUAGGCGGGCACCCUGGCCACAGGCCUGCCCACACGUGGAAACUCUCAAGCCCACUGAGUGGGGCGAGUGGUAAUUACAGGGCCUGGAGCAGAGUGGGCGGGGACUGUAGACCAGAGCCUCCCCCACAGCCGGCCCCACUCCUGUUUGCUGAGCACCUAUUAUGCACUGAACCCCCACCACACACCAUCCCAGCCCGCCGGCACCUCAACCGUGUGCCUCUGGGACCUUCACAUGACCCGACUUUCGGACGAGGAAGUUAAGUUGCCCACAGUCCCACGGGAUGAAACAAGACAGGAAGGAGCUGAGAUGUACACCGAGGACCCCAAAUUUGGCCUUCCUUCUUUGUGGCUCCACUAGCAACAAAGUGCUGCAGAGAUCAAGGAGCCCAGAUGCAGCCUCAGUACAGCUCUUCAGCCACUGCCACUCCAAGCCCCUAAGGCCUGAGUCUAGGCAGCGCCCUGGGUUGAGAGGGACCCAUCAGCUCUCAGCCGGAAGUUUCCUCGGCCGCAGGGACCCCACAAGCUGCACCACUGAGGAGCUGCCAAGACUGUUGCCAAGCAUAGUGUUCUGGGACUUCCUUGGUGGUCCAGUGGUUAAGACUCUGCUCUGCCAAUGCAGGGGUCGCGGCUUCGAUCCCUGG